Molecule: transfer RNA, 72 nt
Filed under: Deltaproteobacteria bacterium
Lineage: Bacteria; Pseudomonadati; Myxococcota; Myxococcia
Also listed under: 2 other names
Description: tRNA-Val
Rfam family: tRNA
About the family: Transfer RNA (tRNA) molecules are approximately 80 nucleotides in length.
Source: RNAcentral
GGGCGGGUAGCUCAGCGGUAGAGCGGCGGUUUUACACACCGCUGGUCGCAGGUUCGAUCCCUGUCCCGCCCA